Molecule: long non-coding RNA, 739 nt
Organism: Beta vulgaris subsp. vulgaris (sugar beet)
Lineage: Eukaryota; Viridiplantae; Streptophyta; Magnoliopsida; Caryophyllales; Amaranthaceae
Exons: 2
Source: RefSeq, a predicted model, not a curated record
UAACGGACGAAAUUCAGGGAUGAUUGUUUGAGCAAAAAAUCGAAUCAAACUUUCUCUCUCCUCUUCUCUUCUCUCUCUCCUUCGUUAUCUUCUUAAACUCAGAAAUUUUCUUUCUCCUCUCUCCUUUAUCCUUCGUUUAUUCCAUAUCAAACUUUCUCUCUCCUCUUCUCCUUUCUCCUUUCUCCUUCUAGGAAAAGGAAACUUGAUCAUCAGCAAAUCGAAGAGAAAUCCUCAGAAUUUUGAACCAUGAAAAACAAAAUUCGCUUGAAACUACUUGAGAAAACUUGCCGAUUUUCCAAUCACAAAUCAUGCGAGAACAAAAUAUAACAAUCAAUCGAAAACAUAAAUUGAAGGAGCGAUGCAAUAACGCAAAUCGAAAAUUCAGAAAUCGAGAUGAAAUUUCGAAUCUUCAACUGAAUUUUUGAAUCUAGUAAUUUUCAAUCGAAAUUGCCAAGAGAUCUUCAUUUUCCAUUUCUGAAGACAAGCUUGUUGAGAUCUUCAUUUUCCAUUUCCAAAGAGCUGUGCAAAUAAAUAUCAAGGAUGAGAAUGUGAUAUUGGAAGUAAAUUCGCUACGGUAAAUUGUCCGUUGUACAUUACUGCUUACUCUGUCCAUAAUUUCUUGAAAAUGUAUCGUGUCAGUAAUUUGAUGAACUCUGUGGUUGGUCUUUGAAUUAUUUGUCGUCUUCAAAUUCGAUCUGUUUGGUUUGGAAUUUUGAAAGAUCAUUCACAUUUUUCAUAA